This 904-nucleotide long non-coding RNA is filed under the name Phocoena sinus (vaquita). RNAcentral's name for it is "lncRNA (ENSPSNG00000017169.1)". Lineage: Eukaryota; Metazoa; Chordata; Mammalia; Artiodactyla; Phocoenidae. The record is from RNAcentral.
UCCUCUGAGCAUCUUCGGCCCGAAGGGCUACCCGGCUGCUAAGAGCGCAGACCCGGCGGGCCUGGUGGUUCCCGUUCUCCCGGCCCAGCGCCGCGCCGUCGACUCAGCACCAAGGGGCCCCGAAGGCAAUCCGUGGGAGGGAGCCACGGGCUCGCGAGGAGGCUGCGAGGCGAUCCACGACCUUUCGGGAUGUGAUGCUCACCCGGGACGGGGCUGGGGGACCGCAGAGCCGUGACUCGCCCGGGACCCAGAGCAGAAACUCCAGGUCGCUUCUGGCAUUUUACCUGCAAAAGCAGAUGAGCACACGAGCCCAGAGAGCUGAUUUCCCCCGGUCGCACAGCUAGAGAGCCCAGGAUGGCUUCUUGCUCAGUGCCAUACUCUGUGAAAAUUAUUGGAGAGACCGGCCAGAAGGGAGAGGAAGUGAUGAAGAGGAUUAACACCCUGCUUCUAAUUCUGGCCACCUCAGAGGCUCUGCACGGAAAAUCAGAAGUGACAGGAAUCCUGGAAGAGGGCCACCUGGCCAUCAGAAAAUUCCAGAGAGAUGUGGUCACUGCCAGACAUACAGUCGAUUGGCCAUUUCAUCCGAAAAUGUUCUUUAAACUAACCGGAAGUGGGUCUGGCUCCAAGCUACUGCCAAGUCUCCCCUGUCGUUGGUUUUCCUGUGUGUGUAAAGCAAGGUGCGAGGAAAAGAAAAGGACACCCCUGUCACACCUGGGAAGACAGAACACUCAUCCCAUACAUACAGAGGACAAUGUCAAGACAUUACGGGAGCAUACUGAAGAUCUCCCAGUUUUGCAAAAUACAUGCUAGGGGGACUACAAGAUGGAACAGAGCUCUGAUUAUCCAUACUUAAUUAUUCAUGGCUGGUGUUAUCUAAUAUUAAUAAAGCAAACAAAUGCAAUGC